RNAcentral lists this long non-coding RNA (1529 nucleotides) under Triticum aestivum (bread wheat). Its description in RNAcentral is "long non-coding RNA (TAES_LNC019715)". Lineage: Eukaryota; Viridiplantae; Streptophyta; Magnoliopsida; Poales; Poaceae. The record is from RNAcentral.
GCACAAAUUUUAUUCUUCCUAGCUCACAUUUAUGGUUACAAGGAAUUAAGUCUUAUACUGGACACAACCUUGCGAAUACAUAACACACCCACUAAUGUAGGCUGGGCCCGGAGCCGGUUGCUAGUACAAUGCCCGUGCGUUGCCUGGGCAAAAUACAGGAAAAUAAAUCAAACUGGUGACUAAGUGACAUGAGUGAAGUCCUACGAAUAUAUAUCAUCUUUUAUCAAUUUCUUUAGCAGAUACUAUAAGAGCAACUAUGCAUCGGUCACAUGUUUUUUAUCGGUGGUAAAAUUUGGUGAUCAUCGUCUUCUUCCUCCUCUUUGUCUUCCUCCUUCCGUCCCAAUGACCCAUCCUCCGACGCUGGUCGUGGCCGAUGUCAAUAUCGUGUGCCACCCUACCUGAGCCGCCUUAAGCUUCUUCAUUGGUUCACCAUUGCCCCAACACUGAUCGAGGCCGGUGUCGAUGCUGCCCUGCUCAUUCUCAAAACAAUUAUGCAAAUCUCAGAUGAUCUGUUAAACAAAACAUGUUAUCAGUGCUUGGCGAGAUGGCAUGUGCACAACUUAUAUGAAGCAUGUGAAAGAGGGUAUCAUGUUUUUAGAGUUAUGGAUUGAUCAGUAUCAGCAUGCAUGGAAACUUAAUGCUUUCCAGAAUUAAGCCACAUUUUUUUCAAGCAAAGCACCAUAUUUUUCUUAUGCUCUAGAAGGGUGAAGGAACUGAAAUCAACCUUAAUGUUUGGCACAAUUUUUCAACAAUGUAUUGAAACUCGUAGACCCUUUGUUCUGUAUUGAAACUCCUAGACCUUUCACUCCAGCUUUGUUUGGUUUCUCUGACCACCAAUGACACAUGAAGAUAACCACAAGUGUCCCGUCUUCAGUGUGGCCAUGACACAGUCCAGGAGCCUAAGCCAAAUAUCCUCAAGCAUGAGUACAAGCCAUGCCCGCUGCACUUUCUUGUAUAUCUCAUAUUAAAUUAUUAAUAAAACAAGAAAAUUGUAGUUUGGUGCAGCUAGGAUAGACAACUUUGGUACUUUCCAGUUAACAUGAAAACUGUACACCUAUACAGAACAGAAGCAACUUUUGCAGGAACAAAAUUGGAUAGCAGAAAAGCUGUUUGACAGCCAAAUGCAUACUAACAAACUAUUAGUACAGAUUUUGGCUCCCAACGAAUUUAGAGAGAAGCACUAAAAGAAGCAUGGAGAAUGCCACCAUACUUACCAGCGGCAACACGGGGAGAUGAGCGGGCAGAAUGUAUCUUGCCUGAUCAAAGUCAUUAAACCUUGAUCCGUCGUUCUGUGUCCAUAGGUGGUGCCAGACAGUGCGGACGACAGCGCAAUGCGAGAUUGCAUCCAGUAGGUUUGAAGGGGCGCGUAGACGCGGAGCCCGACGGCGAUGGCUGCGGAAAAUAGGACGGCGUCAGCGUCGAGGGCGCACAUGAGAGGAGCAGCACGGCAGAUCGGCGAUCGUGGCAUCGGCGAUGCGCUUGAUCCGGCCUACGUACAAACAAUUAAUGUAGAAACAAUAAGAUUACAG